UGCACAAUGGGGGCAACCCUGAUGCAGCGACGCCGCGUGUGGGAGGAAGGCCUUCGGGUUGUAAACCACUGUCGGGCGGGACGAGCCGGGGGUCGUCGAACAGGCGGCUCCUCCGACGGUACCGCCCAUAGGAAGCUCCGGCUAACUCCGUGCCAGCAGCCGCGGUAAAACGGAGGGAGCAAGCGUUGUCCGGAAUUACUGGGCGUACAGAGCGCGUAGGCGGCCAGGUAAGUCGUAUGUGAAAGGCCCGGGCUCAACCCGGGCAUGCCAUGCGAUACUGCCUGGCUAGAGGCCGGCAGGGGCCAGUGGAAUUCCCGGUGUAGCGGUGGAAUGCGUAGAUAUCGGGAGGAACACCAGCGGCGAAGGCGACUGGCUGGGCCGGACCUGACGCUGCAGCGCGAAAGCGUGGGGAUCAAACA
This 419-nucleotide ribosomal RNA is filed under the name uncultured bacterium. Its description in RNAcentral is "bacterial SSU rRNA". It matches the Rfam family "Bacterial small subunit ribosomal RNA", at positions 365 to 774 of the family's 1533-position model. The record is from RNAcentral.